GGGCCAUUAGCUCAGCUGGUUAGAGCGCAUGCUUGAUAAGCAUGAGGUCCCUGGUUCGAACCCAGGAUGGCCCACCA
RNAcentral lists this transfer RNA (77 nucleotides) under bacterium. RNAcentral's name for it is "tRNA-Ile". It matches the Rfam family "tRNA". From Rfam's summary of the family: Transfer RNA (tRNA) molecules are approximately 80 nucleotides in length. Their secondary structure includes four short double-helical elements and three loops (D, anti-codon, and T loops). Further hydrogen bonds mediate the characteristic L-shaped molecular structure. tRNAs have two regions of fundamental functional importance: the anti-codon, which is responsible for specific mRNA codon recognition, and the 3' end, to which the tRNAs corresponding amino acid is attached (by aminoacyl-tRNA synthetases). tRNAs cope with the degeneracy of the genetic code in two manners: having more than one tRNA (with a specific anti-codon) for a particular amino acid; and 'wobble' base-pairing, i.e. permitting non-standard base-pairing at the 3rd anti-codon position. The record is from RNAcentral. RNAcentral also lists the same sequence under 8 other names.